RNAcentral lists this ribosomal RNA (212 nucleotides) under uncultured bacterium. RNAcentral's name for it is "partial 16S ribosomal RNA". It matches the Rfam family "Bacterial small subunit ribosomal RNA", at positions 1290 to 1500 of the family's 1533-position model. The record is from RNAcentral.
AGUUCGGAUUGAAGGCUGAAAUUCGCCUUCAUGAAGCUGGAAUUGCUAGUAAUGGCAGGUCAGCAUACUGCCGUGAAUACGUUCCCGGGCCCUUGUACACACCGCCCGUCACACCAUGAGAGUUGGAAAUACCCGAAGCCUGUGAGCUAACUGUAAAGAGGCAGCAGUCGAAGGUAGAGCCAAUGAUUGGGGUGAAGUCGUAACAAGGUAAC